RNAcentral lists this transfer RNA (81 nucleotides) under Escherichia coli. RNAcentral's name for it is "tRNA-OTHER". The record is from RNAcentral. Lineage: Bacteria; Pseudomonadati; Pseudomonadota; Gammaproteobacteria; Enterobacterales; Enterobacteriaceae.
GCCGGUGUACUCUUAACUGGUAAAGCGGCAUAAACCCUCAGGGGUCAUAUGUUUAUGCGGGUUCGCCCCCCGUCACCGGCU